GCCGCCAUAGCUCAGCUGGCAGAGCGUCCGCCUCGUAAGCGGAAGGUCCCCGGUUCGAAUCCGGGUGGUGGCU
This 73-nucleotide transfer RNA is filed under the name Asanoa ferruginea. RNAcentral's name for it is "tRNA-Thr". It matches the Rfam family "tRNA". From Rfam's summary of the family: Transfer RNA (tRNA) molecules are approximately 80 nucleotides in length. Their secondary structure includes four short double-helical elements and three loops (D, anti-codon, and T loops). Lineage: Bacteria; Bacillati; Actinomycetota; Actinomycetes; Micromonosporales; Micromonosporaceae. The record is from RNAcentral.